Molecule: ribosomal RNA, 446 nt
Filed under: uncultured bacterium
Lineage: Bacteria
Description: partial 16S ribosomal RNA
Rfam family: Bacterial small subunit ribosomal RNA
Source: RNAcentral
CCUACGGGAGGCAGCAGUAGGGAAUUUUCGGCAAUGGGGGGAACCCUGACCGAGCAACGCCGCGUGAACGAAGAAGUUAUUCGUAAUGUAAAGUUCUUUUAACAGGGAAGAAAGAGAAAUUUGACGGUACCUGAAGAAUAAGCUCCGUCUAACUACGUGCCAGCAGCCGCGGAAAUACGUAGGGAGCGAGAGUUAUCCGGCUUUAUUGGGGUUAAAGGGUGCGUAGGCGGACUGCCAAGCCAGCGGUAAAAUCGCGGGGCUAAACCUCGCUCCGCCGUUGAAACUGGCGUUCUUGAGUGGGCGAGAGGUAUGCGGAAUGCGUGGUGUAGCGGUGAAAUGCGUAGAUAUCACGCAGAACUCCGAUUGCGAAGGCAGCAUACCGGCGCCCAACUGACGCUGAAGCGCGAAAGCGUGGGUAUCGAACAGGAUUAGAUACCCGUGUAGUC